GGUAGGAGAGCGCUGGGGCCUCCUGGUGUUAUUCAUGGUCCUUGUCUGUCCUCCACCGCAUCAUCAUCUUCGGCUACUACCCUCAGAAGCACCUCUGGCUACCGUGACUGCAGACCUGCUGCUUUUUUAGUCCUCCUGCAACUCUGCGCCAACACCACCAACCGCUAAGGUUGUGCAAUUUGCGUGUGCCGUGGUACAAUGAACUCCUGUAGCGAGAGAACAUUACAGUGACACGAAGAGCGCGCGCGGCAAGAGAGUUGACUGGGUUCUUUCGACUCGCGAGUUCCAGAUCCAGCAGUCCUCGUGGCGGCCCUAAAAAGCACCAGUGCUCGCCUACUGCCAAAUUCAAAAUUGCACACGUCCGGUCGUCUCGUCGAUCUGAUCCCAUUCGUUUCCUUCCUGGCGCCCAAGAGCAACCCCAAUCGUCCCGAUGUUUGCGAUUAUGCCAAUAGAGGCUGAGGAUCGGAACUCAAACCGAUCCGAAUUUCGACGCAAGAUGAGGGCCAAGUGCGAGUUCGUCUGCAAGUACUGCCAGCGUCGCUUCACCAAACCCUACAACCUGAUGAUCCACGAGCGGAGUCACAAGGAUGACGUCACGUUCACCUGCGAGACCUGCGGAAAGUCCUUCAAGAGGCAGGAUUACCUUAAGCAACACAGAUGUGGGAUGAUGCGGUGAGCUGCAGGGCAAGCGCCGGCUAUAAGCUCGUAGCAUAGCUCCCAACACUCACUAACACGUCUGGCCAUUACCCCAACAACCCCUGCUACAACGGAUACGACCGCUACGUAUACUGAUCCAGAGCCAAUCACUCUCUGUACCCCACGCACACUGCGCUCUCAUGAAAUAUGUAUGCUGCAUUAUUAAUUAGGUGCCGCCUCGCUGGCUGCCCUGAAAAUACGGCCGCUAGCUCUCUUUCAUUUUCGUGUCCGGCGAGCGAGACCACCUUUUCAACCAUCAACGCGCAUCGCACAGAAUAAGCUGCUUCUCAAGAUGCAAUAAACACCCCGUAUAACCGUAUUUACUUCCAUACACAUUAUAUACAAGUAAUAUUUUAAAUAUAUAUUUAUAGCUGAUUAGUCAUCCCUCUCGCUUUAAUUACCCUGUAAUCGCAAAAAUGAGAUUUUUAUGUCUUCGAAAAGAAGAGGAAUUUUUUGCGAUUCUUCUUUGCUGCUGAAGAAUGUGACGAAAAAGUUUGUUCCUUGAGGUCAGUGUUGGAGAUUUUUGAACUACAUCGUGAGCGAUCGGCGCGUUUUAGACUUUUGUUUUUUAUAAAUAAAUAAAUAAAUACGAUAUGUAAUAUUGAUUGAAGAUGUACCCUUCUCAAUGUCUUUUCCGCCCAAUUUUAUAGUGUUUAACACCCCUCUUAGUCUAUUUGCUAUAUGUUUUUAAUUGAAAUGCAUUGCACACUGUAAAUAUCCAGUCUUCUCACUUAAUUUAAAUGUGACAUCUCCCUAAAACGCACGUCCGCGGAGAUGACGAAAAUUGUUAUUUGCUUUUCCUCUGCCAGAGUUUAUUAACCCCGCUACCUGUCGACACUAUAGAUUAUUUAAUUCCUGUUAAUGUGUAGAGAUUUUAGCUGAUAGUCAGUGAUUAAUAAAAUUAAACGUCUGCUUCAAUCCGCUUCAAAAGGCACGCGAUGAUUUUCCACUUUGUGUAACUUAUACAUGAAAGAUAAAUAAAAAGCUUUAUAUGUAUUCACCAACCUAAAAA
Cloeon dipterum is the source of this 1708-nucleotide RNA transcript. It is a transcript of the gene named drumstick, with no coding region annotated. The transcript has 4 exons. The record is from RefSeq and is a predicted model, not a curated record. NCBI's taxonomy places the organism in Eukaryota, Metazoa, Arthropoda, Insecta, Ephemeroptera, Baetidae.